Molecule: ribosomal RNA, 178 nt
Filed under: Zooxanthella nutricula
Lineage: Eukaryota; Dinophyceae; Peridiniales
Description: Brandtodinium nutricula partial Bacterial large subunit ribosomal RNA
Source: RNAcentral
AAGGCUCCCAGGCUCGAAGUUCCUCGCGGCCCACCCAUUGCUUUUGCGUGCCGCGCGCGUCCGACCGGACCGCGCGUGACAUCGGGCGCGAUGGACUACUUCCGCCCCGACGUCAUGGCCGGGCGCGUGGCUCUGGUCACCGGCGGCGGCAGCGGCAUCGGUUUCGAAAUCGCCCGGC